UUGAGUAACAUUGUGGUCGAGUUUACGAAACUCACAACAAGUGAAAUCACUCUAAGAGUUGCUAGCAUGGCAGCAGUUUGCAGCCAGUCUAUCCUUCAGUGAAUUAGAGUGAAGUGACUGAUUAAAACUUGUGUUGGUUUCUCAUUCUCCCAGAGGUUAAACAUCACCAACAACUUUAUGUAUAAUAUUUUCAACGGAUCCUACCACAAGUGAGAUUGAGUAUGGCUGGACGUUGUCCAAGCAGUCGAGGCGAGUCUUGAAAACCACCAACUGUUAAUGUUAGUGUGCAUGCUUAGUUAAAAUACGCAAUAUUCACAAGGCUAUUUUUUAUAGUCGUAAAUAAAAUGUCAAUACAUAGCAUGAAUGCAACAUGAGGCAUAUUUUUACCUGGUAAUAAUUUCGUUAAAUUAACGUUCAAUAGGGGUAAUAGUUUCAAAGCUUGCGUGUUCAGUUAUAUAUAAUUAUUGUUAUUUUAUGCUGACGUCGGAAGUUUUCCCAGCUUAACACUGGGUUUAUUAUGAUGAGAAUUCUUGUGAAAAACUGGGUAAAAAUUACAUCAUUAUGCAGCUGUAUAUUUUUUAAUCAAUAAUAAAGGAUUAAAUUAUUUAUUUGCACGUC
Long non-coding RNA from Chelonus insularis, 618 nucleotides. RefSeq lists it as uncharacterized. The record is from RefSeq and is a predicted model, not a curated record. Lineage: Eukaryota; Metazoa; Arthropoda; Insecta; Hymenoptera; Braconidae. The transcript has 2 exons.